GUCUAAGGCCAUGCCAUCCUGAACAAACCCGAUGUGUGAUCUCAGAAGUUAAUCAGGGUCGGGCCUGGUAAGUACUUGGAUGGGAGACUACCUAGCAAAACCAGGUGCUGUAGGCA
Molecule: ribosomal RNA, 116 nt
Filed under: Pteropus alecto (black flying fox)
Lineage: Eukaryota; Metazoa; Chordata; Mammalia; Chiroptera; Pteropodidae
Source: RNAcentral